ACGAUUCCUCCGGUGCGGUAGAUGUGUUGGUA
RNAcentral lists this non-coding RNA (32 nucleotides) under Geobacter sulfurreducens KN400. Lineage: Bacteria; Pseudomonadati; Thermodesulfobacteriota; Desulfuromonadia; Geobacterales; Geobacteraceae. The record is from RNAcentral.